CUCCCAGACUCCUACGGGAGGCAGCAGUGAGGAAUAUUGGUCAAUGGCCGAAGGGCUGAACCAGCCAAGCCGCGUGUAGGAAUAAGGCCCUACGGGUCGUAAACUUCUUUAGUCAGGGAACAAAGGGUGCCACGUGUGGCGCUGUGAGUGUACCUGAAGAAUAAGCAUCGGCUAACUCCGUGCCAGCAGCCGCGGUAAUACGGAGGAUGCGAGCGUUAUCCGGAUUUAUUGGGUUUAAAGGGUGCGUAGGCGGAAUGCCAAGUCAGGGGUAAAAUCGCGGGGCUCAACCUCGCUCCGCCGUUGAAACUGGGUGCCUUGAGUGGGCGAGAAGUACGCGGAAUGCGUGGUGUAGCGGUGAAAUGCAUAGAUAUCACGCAGAACUCCGAUUGCGAAGGCAGCGUACCGGCGCCCAACUGACGCUGAAGCACGAAGGCGUGGGUAUCGAACAGGAUUAGAUACCCGCGUAA
Molecule: ribosomal RNA, 467 nt
Filed under: uncultured bacterium
Lineage: Bacteria
Description: bacterial SSU rRNA
Rfam family: Bacterial small subunit ribosomal RNA
Source: RNAcentral